This 537-nucleotide long non-coding RNA is filed under the name Rosa chinensis. Its description in RNAcentral is "sRNA RchiOBHm_Chr5g0074841". Lineage: Eukaryota; Viridiplantae; Streptophyta; Magnoliopsida; Rosales; Rosaceae. The record is from RNAcentral.
ACGAAGCCGUUCGAGAGCGGACGUCCACAACCCAGAAAAAGUGCUAACGUCGCUCCUUCGGCCUCGAUCGAGCGUUGACAGCGUGGCGCGGCUUGCCGAAUGGACGUCGGGGGUCUGCGAAGCCGGUCUGCGGUUAGGUGGAGUCGCUGGCGACCGUUCUGCAGUGCUGCACAGAACCUGCAGUUGCAGGUGAGGUGGCUGCCCAGAAACCGACAACCCCGACCUCCUCCGACCUCGAUCGCUGCCCAGAAGAGGUAUGGGACUCCUCCGGCCUCCCUUUGGCCAGCCUAGCGCCGCCGUCGCCGCCGCCUGGAACCGCUUGCUGCGUCGACGUCCAAACUUUAGUGAAAGUGCGGACGUCCGCCUAUGAUCAGGCCUGUGAUAUAUACACAAAGUUACCAAAAGACAUGUAUGUUUUUAACGUUCCAUAAUGCCUCGAUGGUAAAACAAUCACAUGGUAGACCAGUAGUGGUCAAGUUGGUCAACCAUGGAGAACACAAGUACACGAGUUAGGCGGCCGUUAGUAACAGUAAAUAG